AUGAACGCUAGCGACAGGCUAACACAUGCAAGUCGAGGGGCAGCAUAGAAGUAGCAAUACUUGGUGGCGACCGGCGCACGGGUGAGUAACGCGUAUGCAACCUACCUAUCAGGAGGGGAAUAACCCGGCGAAAGUCGGACUAAUACCGCAUAAAACAGGGGCACCGCAUGGUGAUAUUUGUUAAAGAAAUUCGCUGAUAGAUGGGCAUGCGUUCCAUUAGGUAGUUGGUGAGGUAACGGCUCACCAAGCCGACGAUGGAUAGGGGAACUGAGAGGUUGGUCCCCCACACUGGUACUGAGACACGGACCAGACUCCUACGGGAGGCAGCAGUGAGGAAUAUUGGUCAAUGGACGAGAGUCUGAACCAGCCAAGUCGCGUGCAGGAAGAAUGUCCUUAAUGGAUUGUAAACUGCUUUUGCAGGGGAAUAAAGUGCAUCACGUGUGAUGUUUUGUAUGUACUCUGCGAAUAAGGAUCGGCUAACUCCGUGCCAGCAGCCGC
Molecule: ribosomal RNA, 498 nt
Filed under: uncultured bacterium
Lineage: Bacteria
Description: bacterial SSU rRNA
Rfam family: Bacterial small subunit ribosomal RNA
Source: RNAcentral